RNAcentral lists this ribosomal RNA (236 nucleotides) under uncultured Candidatus Saccharibacteria bacterium. RNAcentral describes it as "partial 16S ribosomal RNA". It matches the Rfam family "Bacterial small subunit ribosomal RNA", at positions 584 to 818 of the family's 1533-position model. Lineage: Bacteria; Candidatus Saccharimonadota. The record is from RNAcentral.
UAAGUGAAUAGUGAAACCUGGUGACUCAACCAUACAGACUAUUAUUCAAACUGUUAAACUCGAGAGUGGUAGAGGUAACUGGAAUUUCUAGUGUAGGAGUGAAAUCCGUAGAUAUUAGAAGGGACACCAAUGGCGUAGGCAGAUUACUGGACCAUUUCUGACGCUAAGGCACGAAAGCGUGGGGAGCGAACUGGAUUAGAUACCCAGGUAGUCCACGCCGUAAACGAUGGAUACUA